UCCUGGCUCAGAUUGAACGCUGGCGGAAUGCUUUACACAUGCAAGUCGAACGGUAGAGGGGGCAACCCGUUGAGAGUGGCGAACGGGUGAGUAAUAUAUCGGAACGUGCCCAGUCGUGGGGGAUAACGUAGCGAAAGUUACGCUAAUACCGCAUACGAUCUAAGGAUGAAAGCGGGGGAUCGCAAGACCUCGCGCGAUUGGAGCGGCCGAUAUCAGAUUAGGUAGUUGGUGAGGUAAAGGCUCACCAAGCCAACGAUCUGUAGCUGGUCUGAGAGGACGACCAGCCACACUGGAACUGAGACACGGUCCAGACUCCUACGGGAGGCAGCAGUGGGGAAUUUUGGACAAUGGACGCAAGUCUGAUCCAGCCAUUCCGCGUGCAGGAUGAAGGCCCUCGGGUUGUAAACUGCUUUUGUACGGAACGAAAAGGUUUGUCUUAAUACGAUGAGCUCAUGACGGUACCGUAAGAAUAAGCACCGGCUAACUACGUG
Molecule: ribosomal RNA, 491 nt
Filed under: uncultured bacterium
Lineage: Bacteria
Description: bacterial SSU rRNA
Rfam family: Bacterial small subunit ribosomal RNA
Source: RNAcentral